This 372-nucleotide unclassified non-coding RNA is filed under the name soil metagenome. RNAcentral's name for it is "partial contains 5.8S ribosomal RNA, internal transcribed spacer 2, and large subunit ribosomal RNA". The stretch from base 1 to 121 matches the Rfam family "5.8S ribosomal RNA", at positions 35 to 154 of the family's 154-position model. The record is from RNAcentral.
GAUGAAGAACGUAGCGAAAUGCGAUAAGUAAUGCGAAUUGCAGAAUUCCAGUGAGUCAUCGAAUCUUUGAACGCACAUUGCGCCCUUUGGUAUUCCGAAGGGCAUGCCUGUUCGAGCGUCAUUAUCACCCCUCAAGCCCUCGGCUUGGUGUUGGACGGUUUGGUGGAGGCCCCCUCGGGGGCUCCUGCCCCUCCCAAAGACAAUGACGGCGGCCUCGUUGGACCCCCGGUACACUGAGCUCUUCACGGGACACGUAUCGGACACAUGGGUUUACGGGACACGGUCUGCCUCCCCUCAGGGAGAAUCUUUCUAAGGUUGACCUCGGAUCAGGUAGGGAUACCCGCUGAACUUAAGCAUAUCAAUAAGCGGAGG